RNAcentral lists this ribosomal RNA (793 nucleotides) under uncultured bacterium. RNAcentral describes it as "bacterial SSU rRNA". It matches the Rfam family "Bacterial small subunit ribosomal RNA", at positions 8 to 796 of the family's 1533-position model. The record is from RNAcentral.
AGAGUUUGAUCAUGGCUCAGGAUGAACGCUAGCGGCAGGCUUAACACAUGCAAGUCGAGGGGCAGCGAGGGUAGCAAUACCUGUCGGCGACCGGCGCAAGGGUGCGUAACGCGUGAGCAACAUGCCCGUAUCAGGGGGAUAAUCCAGGGAAACUUGGUCUAAUACCCCAUAGUAAAUAUUAAAGGCAUCUUUGAUAUUUUAAAGCUUUGGUGGAUACGGAUUGGCUCGCGUGACAUUAGCUAGAUGGUAGGGUAACGGCCUACCAUGGCUACGAUGUCUAGGGGUUCUGAGAGGAAGAUCCCCCACACUGGAACUGAGACACGGUCCAGACUCCUACGGGAGGCAGCAGUGAGGAAUAUUGGACAAUGGAUGGAAAUCUGAUCCAGCCAUGCCGCGUGCAGGAAGACGGCCCUAUGGGUUGUAAACUGCUUUUAUACGGGAGCAAUAAGGUCUACGUGUAGGCCGAUGAGAGUACCGUAGGAAUAAGCACCGGCUAACUCCGUGCCAGCAGCCGCGGUAAUACGGAGGGUGCAAGCGUUAUCCGGAUUUAUUGGGUUUAAAGGGUGCGUAGGCGGUCAAUUAAGUCAGCGGUGAAAGUUUUCAGCUUAACUGGAAAAAUGCCGUUGAUACUGAUAGGCUAGAAUAUGGUUGCUGUGGGUGGAAUGUGUGGUGUAGCGGUGAAAUGCUUAGAUAUCACACAGAAUAUCAAUUGCGAAGGCAGCUCACAAAGCCAUUAUUGACGCUGAGGCACGAAAGUGUGGGGAUCAAACAGGAUUAGAUACCCUGGUAGUCC